CAGUAGCCGCGGGAAAACGUAGGUGGCAAGCGUUAUCCGGAAUUAUUGGGCGUAAAGCGCGCGUAGGCGGUUUUUUAAGUCUGAUGUGAAAGCCCACGGCUCAACCGUGGAGGGUCAUUGGAAACUGGAAAACUUGAGUGCAGAAGAGGAAAGUGGAAUUCCAUGUGUAGCGGUGAAAUGCGCAGAGAUAUGGAGGAACACCAGUGGCGAAGGCGACUUUCUGGUCUGUAACUGACGCUGAUGUGCGAAAGCGUGGGGAUCAAACAGGAUUAGAUACCCCAGUAGUCCCUGUCUCUUAUAC
This 301-nucleotide ribosomal RNA is filed under the name uncultured bacterium. RNAcentral describes it as "partial 16S ribosomal RNA". It matches the Rfam family "Bacterial small subunit ribosomal RNA", at positions 509 to 807 of the family's 1533-position model. The record is from RNAcentral.